This 349-nucleotide ribosomal RNA is filed under the name uncultured Lactobacillus sp. RNAcentral's name for it is "bacterial SSU rRNA". It matches the Rfam family "Bacterial small subunit ribosomal RNA", at positions 193 to 525 of the family's 1533-position model. The record is from RNAcentral. Lineage: Bacteria; Bacillati; Bacillota; Bacilli; Lactobacillales; Lactobacillaceae.
GGUACGGCGUAAAGCUGUCGCUAUGGGGAUGGGCCCCGCGGUGCAUUAGCUAGUUGGCAAGGUAAAGGCUUACCAAGGGCGAUGAUGCAUAGCCCGAGUUGAGAGACUGAUCGGCCACAUUGGGGACUGAGACACGGGCCCAAACUCCUACGGGGAGGCAGCAGUAGGGAAUCUUCCACAAUGGACGCAAGUCUGAUGGAGCAAAUGCCGCGUGAGUGAAGAAGGUUUUCGGAUCGUAAAAAGCUCUGUUGUUGGUGAAGAAGGAUAGAGGUAGUAACUGGCCCUUUAUUUGACGGUAAUCAACCCAGAAAGUCACGGGCUAACUACGUGCCCAGCAGCCGCGGUAAAU